Non-coding RNA from Paramuricea clavata, 261 nucleotides. Lineage: Eukaryota; Metazoa; Cnidaria; Anthozoa; Malacalcyonacea; Plexauridae. The record is from the annotation of a GenBank genome assembly.
AAUUGGGAAAACGAGAAAUUGUGUGGAAACACGACGCCCGAAGGGCGGAGUGUUUUCACACAAUUUCGAGCUUUCCCAAUUUCCACGAGUGUCGAUAUAACUGUAUAUCAAUAUGGAAAAAAUGUUUUAUAUUUGUUUUAUAAUAUAGCACAAAGAAAUAUAAAGAAAUAAAUUUUCCGACGUUUCCGUGUUGACAUUGAGUUAUAUCAACACGGCUCUUAGCCAAUCAGCGUUUAGAAUUUACAAAUGCUAUAUUAUAAA